RNAcentral lists this ribosomal RNA (253 nucleotides) under uncultured bacterium. RNAcentral's name for it is "partial 16S ribosomal RNA". It matches the Rfam family "Bacterial small subunit ribosomal RNA", at positions 524 to 776 of the family's 1533-position model. The record is from RNAcentral.
UACGUGAGGGGCGAACGUUGUUCGGUGUCACUGGGCUUAAAGGGCGCGUAGGUGGCUGCGUAAGUAAGGUGUGAAAGCCCUCGGCUUACCCGGGGAAUCGCGCCUUAUACUGCGUGGCUUGAGGGUCACAGGGGAAGGGGGAACUCCAGGUGUAGCGGUGAAAUGCGCAGAUAUCUGGGGGAAGGCCGGCGGCGAAGGCGCCCUUCUGGGUGAUUCCUGACACUGAGGCGCGAAAGCGUGGGGAGCAAACAGG